Molecule: unclassified non-coding RNA, 406 nt
Filed under: soil metagenome
Description: partial contains 5.8S ribosomal RNA, internal transcribed spacer 2, and large subunit ribosomal RNA
Rfam family: 5.8S ribosomal RNA (bases 1-121)
Source: RNAcentral
GAUGAAGAACGCAGCGAAAUGCGAUAAGUAAUGUGAAUUGCAGAAUUCAGUGAAUCAUCGAAUCUUUGAACGCACCUUGCGCCCUUUGGCCAUUCCGAAGGGCAUGCCUGUUUGAGUAUCAUGAACACCUCAACUCUUCAUGGUUUUCCAUGAUGAGCUUGGACUUUGGGGGUCUUGCUGGCCUGUGGGUCGGCUCCUCUCAAAUGAAUCAGCUUGCCGGUUUUUGGUGGGCAUCACAGGUGUGAUAACUAUCUACGCUUGUGGUUUUCCACCAGGGUAACCUUCAGCAGUGGAGGUUCACUGGAGCUUACAAAUGUCUCUCCUCUGUGAGGACAGCCCUUUGAAUGUUUGAUAUCAAAUCAGGUAGGACUACCCGCUGAACUUAAGCAUAUCAAUAAGCGGAGGA